RNAcentral lists this transfer RNA (72 nucleotides) under Bothrops diporus. Its description in RNAcentral is "tRNA-Leu". RNAcentral also lists the same sequence under 1 other name. The record is from RNAcentral. Lineage: Eukaryota; Metazoa; Chordata; Lepidosauria; Squamata; Viperidae.
UCUACCAAAGGAGAACAGCCCCUCCUCUGGUCUUAGGCGCCAAAACUCUUGGUGCAAAUCCAAGUGGUAGAA